Molecule: long non-coding RNA, 3378 nt
Filed under: Citrus x clementina
Lineage: Eukaryota; Viridiplantae; Streptophyta; Magnoliopsida; Sapindales; Rutaceae
Description: Citrus clementina (C. clementina) long non-coding RNA (CCLE_LNC006071)
Source: RNAcentral
GCACCCCGAGGCCCUCGCAAAGUCUCACCCCAUUCCGAGUCCGGCGGACGAACUUCGCCCGCGCCCCCCACCAAGGCUAUAGCCCACCCGUUUUUUGGCCAUUUUUCCGCUGGGGGGUUUUGGCACCACGACCUUCGGGCGCUUAUUUUUGGGCGCGGCUUUGCCCGCGGCUUAUUUUUGGCACCCCGAGGCCCCUCGCAAAGUCUCGCCCCAUUCCGAGUCCGGCGGACGAACUUCGCCCGCUCCGCCCACCAAGGCUAUAGCCCACCCGUUUUUUGGCCAUUUUUCCGCUGGGGGGUUUUGGCACCACGACCUUCGGCCGCUUAUUUUUGGGCGCGGUUUGCCCGCGGCUUAUUUUUGGCACCCCGAGGCCCCUCGCAAAGUCUCGCCCCAUUCCGAGUCCGGCGGACGAACUUCGCCCGCGCCCCCCACCAAGGCUAUAACCCACCCGUUUUUUGGCCAUUUUUCCGCUGGGGGGUUUUGGCACCACGACCUUCGGGCGCUUAUUUUUGUGCGUGGCUGUGCCCGCGACUUCCCGCGGGCACCCCGAGGCACCUCGCAAAGUCUUGCCCCAUUCCGAGUCCGGCGGAUGAACUUCGCCCGCGCCCCCCACCAAGGCUAUAACCCAAUCGUUUUUUGGCCAUUUUUCCGCUGGGGGGUUUUGGCACCACGACCUUCAGGCGAUUAUUUUUGGGUGCGGCUGUGCCCGCGACUUCCCGCGGGCACCCCGAGGCCACUCGCAAAGUCUCGCCCCAUUCCGAGUCCGGCGGACGAACUUCGCCCGCGCCCCCACCAAGGCUAUAGCCCACCCGUUUUUUGGCCAUUUUUCCGCUGGGGGGUUUUGGCACCACGACCUUCGGGCGCUUAUUUUUGGGCGCAGCUUUACCCGCGGCUUAUUUUUGGCACCCCGAGGCCCCUCGCAAAGUCUCGCCCCAUUCCGAGUCCGGCGGACGAACUUCGCCCGCUCCGCCCACCAAGGCUAUAGCCCACCCGUUUUUUGGCCAUUUUUCCGCUGGGGGGUUUUGGCACCACGACCUUCGGGCACUUAUUUUUGGGCGCGGCUGUACCCGCGACUUCCCGCGGGCACCCCGAGGCCCCUCGCAAAGUCUCACCCCAUUCCGAGUCCGGCGGACAAACUUCGCCCGCGCCCCCCACCAAGGCUAUAGCCCACCCGUUUUUUGGCCAUUUUUCCGCUGGGGGGUUUUGGCACCACGAUCUUCGGGCGCUUAUUUUUGGGCGCGUCUUUGCCCGCGGCUUAUUUUUGGCACCCCGAGGCCCCUCGCAAAGUCUCGCCCCAUUCCGAGUCCGGUGGACGAACUUCGCCCGCGCCCCCCACCAAGGCUAUAGCCCACCCGUUUUUUGGCCAUUUUUCCGCUGGGGGGUUUUGGCACCACGACCUUCGGGCGCUUAUUUUUGGGCGCGGCUGUGCCCGCGACUUCCCGCGGGCACCGCGAGGCCACUCGCAAAGUCUCGCCCCAUUCCGAGUCCGGCGGACGAACUUCGCCCGCGCCCCCCACCAAGGCUAUAGCCCACCCGUUUUUUGGCCAUUUUUCCGCUGGGGUGUUUUGGCACCACGUCCUUCGGGCGCUUAUUUUUGGGCGCGGUUUGCCCGCGGCUUAUUUUUGGCGCCCCGAGGCCCCUCGCAAUGUCUCGCCCCAUUCCGAGUCCGGCGGACGAACUUCGCCCGCGCCCCCCACCAAGGCUAUAGCCCACCCGUUUUUUGGCCAUUUUUCCGCUGGGGGGUUUUGGCACCACGACCUUCGGGCGCUUAUUUUUGGGCGCGGCUGUACCCGCGACUUCCCGCGGGCACCCCGAGGCCCCUCGCAAAGUCUCGCCCCAUUCCGAGUCCGGCGGACGAACUUCGCCCGCGCCCCCCACCAAGGCUAUAGCCCACCCGUUUUUUGGCCAUUUUUCCGCUGGGGGGUUUUGGCACCACGACCUUCGGACGCUUAUUUUUGGGCGUGGCUUUGCCCGCGGCUUAUUUUUGGCGCCCCGAGGCCCCUCGCAAAGUCUCGCCCCAUUCCGAGUCCGGCGGACGAACUUCGCCCGCGCCCCCCACCAAGGCUAUAGGCCACCCAUUUUUUGGCCAUUUUUCCACUGGGGGGUUUUGGCACCACGAUCUUCGGGCGCUUAUUUUUGGGCGCGUCUUUGCCCGCGGCUUAUUUUUGGCACCCCGAGGCCCCUCGCAAAGUCUCGCCCCAUUCCGAGUCCGGUGGACGAACUUCGCCCGCGCCCCCCACCAAGGCUAUAGCCCACCCGUUUUUGGGCCAUUUUCCGCUGGGGGGUUUGGCACACGACAUUCGGGCGCUUAUUUUGGGCGCGGCUGUGCCCGCGACUUCCCGCGGGCACCGCGAGGCCACUCGCAAAGUCUCGCCCCAUUCCGAGUCCGGCGGACGAACUUCGCCCGCGCCUCCCACCAAGGCUAUAGCCCACCCGUUUUUUGGCCAUUUUUCCGCUGGGGUGUUUUGGCACCACGUCCUUCGGGCGCUUAUUUUUGGGCGCGGCUUUGCCCGCGGCUUAUUUUUGGCACCCCGAGGCCCCUCGCAAAGUCUCGCCCCAUUCCGAGUCCGGCGGACGAACUUCACCCGCGCCGCCCCCCAAGGCUAUAGCCCACCCGUUUUUUGGCCAUUUUUCCGCUGGGGUGUUUUGGCACCACGACCUUCGGGCGCUUAUUUUUGGGCGCGGUUUGCCCGCGGCUUAUUUUUGGUACCCCGAGGCCCCUCGCAAAGUCUCGCCCCAUUCCGAGUCCGGCGGACGAACUUCGCCCGCGCCCCCCACCAAGGCUAUAACCCACCCGUUUUUUGGCCAUUUUUCCACUGGGGGGUUUUGGCACCACGACCUUCGGGCGCUUAUUUUUGGGCGCGGUUUGCCCGCGGCUUAUUUUUGGCACCCCGAGGCCCCUCGCAAAGUCUCGCCCCAUUCCGAGUCCGGCGGACGAACUUCGCCCGCGCCCCCCACCAAGGCUAUAACCCACCCGUUUUUUGGCCAUUUUUCCGCUGGGGGGUUUUGGCACCACGACCUUCGGGAGCUUAUUUUUGGGCGUGGCUGUGCCCGCGACUUCCCGCGGGCACCCCGAGGCCCCUCGCAAAGUCUCGCCCCAUUCCGAGUCCGGCGGACGAACUUCGCCCGCGCCCCCCACCAAGGCUAUAACCCACCCGUUUUUUGGCCAUUUUUCCGCUGGGGGGUUUUGGCACCACGACCUUCGGGCGAUUAUUUUUGGGUGCGGCUGUGCCCGCGACUUCCCGCGGGCACCCCGAGGCCACUCGCAAAGUCUCACCCCAUUCCGAGUCCGGCGGACGAACUUCGCCCGCGCCCCCCACCAAGGCUAUAGCCCACCCGUUUUUUGGCCAUUUUUCCGCUGGGGGGUUUUGGCACCAN